RNAcentral lists this ribosomal RNA (225 nucleotides) under uncultured bacterium. RNAcentral's name for it is "partial 16S ribosomal RNA". It matches the Rfam family "Bacterial small subunit ribosomal RNA", at positions 109 to 334 of the family's 1533-position model. The record is from RNAcentral.
AGUAGCGCGUGGGUAACCUGCCUUAUACAGGGGGAUAACAGUUGGAAACGGCUGCUAAUACCGCAUAAGCGCACGGCAUCGCAUGAUGCAGUGUGAAAAACUCCGGUGGUAUAAGAUGGACCCGCGUUGGAUUAGCUAGUUGGUGAGGUAACGGCCCACCAAGGCGACGAUCCAUAGCCGACCUGAGAGGGUGACCGGCCACAUUGGGACUGAGACACGGCCCAA